Long non-coding RNA from Syngnathus typhle (broad-nosed pipefish), 607 nucleotides. RefSeq lists it as uncharacterized. The transcript is spliced from 2 exons. NCBI's taxonomy places the organism in Eukaryota, Metazoa, Chordata, Actinopteri, Syngnathiformes, Syngnathidae. The record is from RefSeq and is a predicted model, not a curated record.
GACAGUGCACACGGCAUCUGCCGAGUUAUCACUUAGCAGCCGCGUCCGCCGGUGAGCGCGAGGGCAGAGGACAGCUGACGAGCCGCAAGGAAACGUCAGGCCGCUCAAAAGAAGACCAGCCUGCCGUGUUGUAAACAUACUUCUUUAUUAAAGAUAAGAAAGUCCACCGAGCGGCGUGGCCAUAAAUUAAAGUCCUCCGUUGGAGCACAAAAGACAAGCGGGCGGCGGCCUCCCGAGAGCAAGCCAGCCGACGCCAAGCAAAAGUUGAACGCACGCGACCGGACCGCUUCGGCUGGAAAAUUUAGUGAAGAAAAAGCGCCCAGCGGCCCCAACGAAGCUUUGACUCACAAUGGAGGAGGCGAGGAACGGGAACGGCGGCCAGACGGUCGACUCUCGUCUGUUUCACUCCAUUCAGACCAAAAAAGGUUGGGUUUUUUGCGUGUGUUCGGAGCAGCGUCGUCACGGCAACCAGAGCCGAGCAUCAUCGCCUGAGAUCAAAUAGCGCUGACCCGUGCCGACAUUAGCAUCUAAUGAAGUUUGACUUUUUGAUUAGGGGGAGGAAAUGAAACAAGAUGAACUUUGAUUAAAGAUAACGAUUGGGAUUAAA